Molecule: small nuclear RNA, 120 nt
Organism: Vulpes vulpes (red fox)
Lineage: Eukaryota; Metazoa; Chordata; Mammalia; Carnivora; Canidae
Gene: U2
Rfam family: U2 spliceosomal RNA
About the family: U2 is a small nuclear RNA (snRNA) component of the spliceosome (involved in pre-mRNA splicing). Complementary binding between U2 snRNA (in an area lying towards the 5' end but 3' to hairpin I) and the branchpoint sequence (BPS) of the intron results the bulging out of an unpaired adenosine, on the BPS, which initiates a nucleophilic attack at the intronic 5' splice site, thus starting the first of two transesterification reactions that mediate splicing.
Source: Ensembl
AUAGCUUCUCGGCCUUUUGGCUAAGAUAAAGUGUAGUAUCUGUUCUUCUCAGUAAGAAGCAGUCUAAGAGCCAUGUUUUCCAAGUUACUGUAGUGCUGGCAUUUUACAAACCAAAUCUUU